RNAcentral lists this ribosomal RNA (482 nucleotides) under uncultured bacterium. RNAcentral's name for it is "partial 16S ribosomal RNA". It matches the Rfam family "Bacterial small subunit ribosomal RNA", at positions 30 to 507 of the family's 1533-position model. The record is from RNAcentral.
AUUGAACGCUGGCGGCAUGCUUUACACAUGCAAGUCGAACGGUAACAGGCCGCAAGGUGCUGACGAGUGGCGAACGGGUGAGUAAUGCAUCGGAACGUGCCCAGUCGUGGGGGAUAACUACUCGAAAGAGUAGCUAAUACCGCAUACGAUCUAUGGAUGAAAGCGGGGGACCGUAAGGCCUCGCGCGAUUGGAGCGGCCGAUGUCAGAUUAGGUAGUUGGUGGGGUAAAGGCUCACCAAGCCAACGAUCUGUAGCUGGUCUGAGAGGACGACCAGCCACACUGGGACUGAGACACGGCCCAGACUCCUACGGGAGGCAGCAGUGGGGAAUUUUGGACAAUGGGCGCAAGCCUGAUCCAGCAAUGCCGCGUGCAGGAAGAAGGCCUUCGGGUUGUAAACUGCUUUUGUACGGAACGAAACGGCUCUGGUUAAUACCCGGGGCUAAUGACGGUACCGUAAGAAUAAGCACCGGCUGACUACGUG